Molecule: ribosomal RNA, 895 nt
Filed under: Buttiauxella izardii
Lineage: Bacteria; Pseudomonadati; Pseudomonadota; Gammaproteobacteria; Enterobacterales; Enterobacteriaceae
Description: bacterial SSU rRNA
Rfam family: Bacterial small subunit ribosomal RNA
Source: RNAcentral
UGAAAAUACACUCCCGGGGCCUUCAAUCAUGCGUAAGCUGCAUUUCGAAAGCUGGGCAGGGCUAGAGUCAUUGUAGACGGGAGGGUAGAAUUACCAGGUGUAGCGGUGAAAUGCGUAGAGAUCUGGAGGAAUACCGGUGGCGAAGGCGGCCCCCCUGGACAAAGACUGACGCUCAGGUGCGAAAGCGUGGGGAGCAAACAGGAUUAGAUACCUUGGUAGUCCACGCCGUAAACGAUGUCGACUUGGAGGUUGUUCCCUUGAGGAGUGGCUUCCGGAGCUAACGCGUUAAGUCGACCGCCUGGGGAGUACGGCCGCAAGGUUAAAACUCAAAUGAAUUGACGGGGGCCCGCACAAGCGGUGGAGCAUGUGGUUUAAUUCGAUGCAACGCGAAGAACCUUACCUACUCUUGACAUCCACGGAAUUUAGCAGAGAUGCUUUAGUGCCUUCGGGAACCGUGAGACAGGUGCUGCAUGGCUGUCGUCAGCUCGUGUUGUGAAAUGUUGGGUUAAGUCCCGCAACGAGCGCAACCCUUAUCCUUUGUUGCCAGCGGUUCGGCCGGGAACUCAAAGGAGACUGCCAGUGAUAAACUGGAGGAAGGUGGGGAUGACGUCAAGUCAUCAUGGCCCUUACGAGUAGGGCUACACACGUGCUACAAUGGCGCAUACAAAGAGAAGCGACCUCGCGAGAGCAAGCGGACCUCAUAAAGUGCGUCGUAGUCCGGAUUGGAGUCUGCAACUCGACUCCAUGAAGUCGGAAUCGCUAGUAAUCGUAGAUCAGAAUGCUACGGUGAAUACGUUCCCGGGCCUUGUACACACCGCCCGUCACACCAUGGGAGUGGGUUGCAAAAGAAGUAGGUAGCUUAACCUUCGGGAGGGCGCUACCACUUGUAUUCAAA